ACAUAAAUAACCCAAAAUUGAGAACGCCACCACACCAAAACGAAGUUCAGUCGGCUUUCUUGAUUUUGGGGUGUCCAAAAUAAAGUUCAUAGCUUGAACUUGAUGCCCCAAAAAACGUAAUUUUUGUUUGUUGGUGAUUUUAUAUGGUGUUGUUGUUUGCGACUGAAAACGUAUUGUCUUUUAGUUUCAUAGCUGUAGCUAGCUGUAAUGCUGAUGCUACUUUUGCCAAAACUGAAUAAACCGGAAACCGAUGCGGUGUUAUUGGGUCUUCCGGGCAAGCACAACAGGCAGCAGCUGAUAACUCUCAAGGGUGUCCGGUUGUUCGGACAGGCAGGAUGGUGUUGUUCACCCGGGCAAAAGCAGUUUUUCCAUUAAUGAAUGACCAAAGAAUAACCAAAAGCCAUGAAGCUAGAGCAAAUUAUAAAAAGGAAUCGUUCGAGUUUAACACUGAGGUACUUUUCCGGAACCGACGGGUCUAUCCCACCUAAGAUCAGUAGUUUUACAUAAAACGAAACAUCUUUCUGAUCCGGGAAGCUGAAAAUGAUAAAAUCUAAAUUUGGUCAUUUCAAUCGUAAUUGUAAUUUUUAAUUUUGUGCAAUUGCAGAAUUCAAUAAAAAUUCGUUCAAUAAUGAA
This is a long non-coding RNA of Uranotaenia lowii, 633 nucleotides long. RefSeq lists it as uncharacterized. Lineage: Eukaryota; Metazoa; Arthropoda; Insecta; Diptera; Culicidae. The transcript is spliced from 2 exons. The record is from RefSeq and is a predicted model, not a curated record.